This is a long non-coding RNA of Glycine soja, 853 nucleotides long. RefSeq lists it as uncharacterized. The transcript is spliced from 4 exons. Lineage: Eukaryota; Viridiplantae; Streptophyta; Magnoliopsida; Fabales; Fabaceae. The record is from RefSeq and is a predicted model, not a curated record.
UUUUGUUACAGGAUAGGGGAGGUUAUUUUCAGCUAUUGCAUUUAUAUCUAUUGUAAUAGAAAAAAAUUACAGAACUUAUGGAUGACAUUCGUGAGAAUGUCUCUGUGUUGACACUGCUUGCUGAGGUCUUGUGCUUGCUGGAUAUGAUUGUAAAUUCAUUUGCUCAUAUGAUAUCAACUAAGCCUGUUGAUCGAUAUACAAGACCAGAAUUUACAGGCUAUUAAUCAUAUUAAGAGGAAGUAUGAGUUGGAGAAUAUGGAAAUUGUGAACAAGGAAAAAGAAAAGGCUGACAAAGCCAUUGCAGAAAUUGAGGCAAAGUGUGGCCAAAAAAUUGAAGAAUGCAAAGAAGAACAAAGGCAGCAGUUGAUGCGCAUUGAAGAUGAACACACGUUGCUCGUAAGCAUAGAAAAAGUCUUGAAUUUGAAAUUAUUGGCUGCUUAGAAAUAUUCUAUCAUUGCAUUCUAUUACAUGGGAUCAUAAGUGUUCUGAUUUGUCUUUAGUUAUAUUUUUAAUUACUUAAUGUUCUAAUUAAUUGAAAAAACCAUUUUUUUAAAUAAAGUUACUUUCUGAUUAGUAUUUGUUAGAGAUGCAAUAUAAAGUCAUUCAUGUAUCGUUACCUAGCAGCUUGAGCUUUUUGGAUAGUUUGUUAAUGACAUGGUACGAAAUUCUCUAUGACUAUGUGGUCUAGAGAUCAAAGCAUUGAGGUGUGAACUUGAAGAUGAGUGUCAGAAGCUGGAAGAGGAGUUGCAUCUUCAAAAAUCCAAAGAAGACAGGCAAAGGGCUUUGUUGCAGUUGCAGUUGAAAGUGAUGAGUGACAAGCCCAAAGAGGACCAAGAAGUGAAUUCAAAACAGA